Cinara cedri is the source of this 284-nucleotide non-coding RNA. The record is from the annotation of a GenBank genome assembly. Lineage: Eukaryota; Metazoa; Arthropoda; Insecta; Hemiptera; Aphididae.
AUUGUUCUCUUGGUGGUAAUGAGGUUUAAUACUAGGCGUUUUAUACGUUUUCAUAAUCGGGUCAUAUUUAUCGUUGUUACAGGUUGGUAUUGGCCCCUUUCUUUGAUCAUGGAAAAAUGAUAUUAUAUUAACUUAUGUUCCUCGAGGAAAAACUACAAGUACCUACUUACAAUUACAAACAAUCGAUUUAUGUUUGUGUAUCGUUGAAUUGUUUGGUUUAUCAAGCAAUGCGAAAAAUUCUCCAAAAAUCUUAGUUACCUAUCUGCUCUUCUUGGACACAUAUU